AAGCAGAGGAUGGUGGAUGGCAGAACAAGGACUAUCAUCAAUGACAUUUUCUUCACUGAGCCCACCCCAGAAAUGAGCUCCCUUCCUGUGCGCUCUCACAGCUCCUUGUCGUUGAAUCUCGUAUCACUGAUGGUAAUUUGCAGAGGAAUAAUUAAGUUGGUGAUUCACUUUAGGAUGUACUGCCCUCCGAGGCUGAAAGCUAAACACAUAGAGCCCACGUUACGCCCAGUACCACUUAAAGAACUAAGGAUUAGUCACUGGCCCAAUGAAUGCAUCAGACACUCAGCUUCAGUUCCCAUGGCAACAGGGGCUAAUGGCCUAGAGACUAAAGAUGAGACAAAGAGAAACGCAGAGAAAUGUGCGUGUUCUGUCUUCCUCUGAGGUACGCAAGCCCCUAUUCAGGGAUUGGAAAGAACAUUCGCUUUAGUUCUACCCUGCCCUCCCCUCAAUGCUGGGUGGAGGAGGGCAGAAACGCAGACGGGCCUGACAUGAAUCCAGAAUUUCUACAUCCUCUCAAUGCACCUGCACGGUUUGGAGACAGGCUUCUUUGUCCCCGAGCCAUCAUGUUACCAACAAUGUAUUGUACCUGCAAACCAUGCCUGUGGAACCUAGGAUUCCUGCUACCCCAACUCACUUUCCUCUUUACCACCCUCUAGCCUCUAUCAUAGUAGGGGAGUUUUUUCAGUCAUUCCUAUUUUCUGACAGAAAGUUCCAGCCAGCCCAAUUUCAGAAGCGCUGUCUCGGGAGGGCUUCCUGAUCCUUCCUGCCAGAGUCACACAGGACACACCUCCUCCCUCUUCUCCUCUGUGGCCUGGGAGACCUCCGCCCAGACCAUGGGACAAGUUCCUAGGGCUCCCCCUUCCUGCCACACUCCUGUUCCGCCAGGGCCUUGGGGAGACUCAGACGAGGGAGGUUUCUGAUAGUCUCCCACUUCUGGAAGCAGCCAAACUAAUGAGAGGCCUCUUGCCUGCCCCUCUUCCUGAGAAGCCCACCACCUCCUGUGUAUUGACUCCCCUUACCAGAGGCUGGACAAACAGCGUGCCAGGCCCGACAUGAGACGUCCCACACUAUAAAUUUGUGAUAAACAACAACUCAAAAGCUGGGCAUAUGCCCCCAACUUUCCCUCCCUUCUUUCCAUUUAUUCCAGUGAGUCUCAGAAGUCCCUUUGUCCAGCUGCACUCUCCUCUCCUGGGACCCAGCUGCCCUCCAUUUCCCAUGUCCUGGAACCCCUCAGUCCAAAAUAUCUAAGUAAACUCGUCUUCACUGCAAUGUGCAACCCACACCCACAGCCGUGCCCUACGCCAGAAGGAACCACAUGAAGUUCUGCCCAUCUUCCUGACCUCCACGGAUGUUGCGUGACAUCCAGUCUCCUCUGGGUCAGGGGGUUUGUCUCAUAUGCACUCCUGAGUGCCCACCUGCCAGUGACUCCCCUGUGUUUCACACCCCUCUCGGGGGAUCUCAGAUCCACUCGGCUCCUGGUCUCUGUCUGGAUGACCACGACCAGUUUCCCUUGGAGAAGGACCAAUGGGGAAUGGCAAUGCCAGGAAGGCAACGCUUCGCUUGACUGCUCUGCUCCUUAAAUCCCCAAAAGCACCACUCACUCACAGGACUGUAGACGCUAUGCCAGUUACAGACUUCAGGGAAGGGUCAAUAGUGACUACAGGAAAUUAUAGUGGAACAAACUACUAGUGAGCGAUGGCUAAGCAUCCAUGCUGCUAGAAUCCAAAAAGAAUCACCCAUCCCCUGCCUCCCACGGAAAAGAUAAGGUCUUCUGAGGACAUUCCAUUUCCGGUGAAUUCCCAUUCAUGGCUUUUCUUCCUGUUUUGAGCACUGCCCUUUUCUCUCCCUGGAAAGAAGGAAGUCCCUCCAUUAAUCUGCUUCAUUGUAGGGAUUUCUUUAUUUCUCAGUAAUGGGAUCUGUCUAUGUCUCCACCUCCCUGUGAACAUAUGAACACCCAGAGACAACCACCAAACACUAAGGAGCUAUGAGUGUCACAUCAUAAUCCCUCACCUAGCUCUGCGCAGUGGCUCACACCUAUAACCCCAGCUAUGCAAGACACCGAGGCAGGAGGAUUGGUGAGGCCAGGAGUUGGACACGAGCCUAGUCAAUGUAGCGAGACCUCAUCUCUAAAAUUAUAAAAAUAGAAAAAAUUAGCCUUAUAUGGUGGCACGCAUCUGUGGUCCCAGCUACUCGGGAGACUCAUGCAGGAGGAUCACUUGAGCCCAGGAGUUUGAGGCUGCAGUGAGUUAUGACAGCACCACUGCACAGAGCUUUGGGAGGCUGCACUUUGAAGGCAGAAGUUCAAGACCAGCUUGGGCAUCACAGCGAGACCCCAACUGCAGAAAAAAAAUAAAAUUAAAUUUAAAAAAAUU
Molecule: long non-coding RNA, 2372 nt
Filed under: Pan troglodytes (chimpanzee)
Lineage: Eukaryota; Metazoa; Chordata; Mammalia; Primates; Hominidae
Description: lincRNA
Source: RNAcentral